GAUCCUGAUGAGGUAAUUUGCGUUUGAUUCUGGCUGUUGGCGCCCUCGCCGGGGUUGCUAUAGCAGUUGGUUAAAUGACAUUUCUUUUCUUACAUAUUCUGAAC
Molecule: small nucleolar RNA, 104 nt
Filed under: Thielaviopsis punctulata
Lineage: Eukaryota; Fungi; Ascomycota; Sordariomycetes; Microascales; Ceratocystidaceae
Description: Ceratocystis radicicola A. fumigatus snoRNA Afu_514
Rfam family: A. fumigatus snoRNA Afu_514
Source: Rfam by way of RNAcentral